RNAcentral lists this ribosomal RNA (208 nucleotides) under uncultured Bacillota bacterium. RNAcentral's name for it is "uncultured Firmicutes bacterium partial 16S ribosomal RNA". It matches the Rfam family "Bacterial small subunit ribosomal RNA", at positions 568 to 775 of the family's 1533-position model. Lineage: Bacteria; Bacillati; Bacillota. The record is from RNAcentral.
CACGUAGGCGGGAACUUAAGUCAGGUGUGAAAGACCGAGGCUCAACCUCGGGUAUGCACUUGAAACUGGGUUUCUUGAGGGCAGGAGAGGAAAGCAGAAUUCCUGGUGUAGCGGUGAGAUGCGUAGAAAUCAGGAGGAAUACCAGUGGCGAAGGCGGCUUUCUGGACUGACCCUGACGCUGAGGUGCGAAAGCGUGGGUAGCAAACAG